This 8197-nucleotide long non-coding RNA is filed under the name Equus asinus (donkey). RNAcentral's name for it is "lncRNA (ENSEASG00005037886.1)". The record is from RNAcentral. Lineage: Eukaryota; Metazoa; Chordata; Mammalia; Perissodactyla; Equidae.
ACAAAGACCAUCAUGGUCUGAGGGAACACGGAGGCCCUCUGGAGAGGGCUCUGGCCCUUGGAAUGUAGGUCAUACAGGGACAGUCCCCCUUGGCAAGCAUGCAGCCUUUGUUCCUCUGCCUACUUAAGCAAGCUUCUCUCAGGGGCAGAGCACACUUUCAUCUAGCCAGCUGCCACUGGACCUUCCCUGUGGCUGUGAUGACAUCAACCACUACAAGGGGAAGAAAAAGAAACAACAGGAAAUUCUGCGUUCAGCUAUUAACUGAUAAAUGAAGGAGGAACUGGCUUUUAAAGUCUUCAACUGAUUGGAUGAGGCCCACCCACACUAUGGAAGCUGAGUCCAGGCCAUGAGAAAUCCAAGAUGAAGGCAGAGAGCUGCUUCUUUGGAUGACCAAAGGGGGUUACCGAAGUGGAGAACAGAAUCUGUGGUGGCGUAUGGAACGGCCGUCAUUCAUUCACCCGACAAUGAUGUAUUGAAGGCUUAGUAUGGCAAGAACUAGGCUAACCAGGCACUGGUGGGUAAAAUAGAGAGAUAAGCAGCCCUCCCAGAGCUUGCUGCCGAGUGAGAAGCAAACAUGAAACAAUCAAUCACGCCCAUAAGUGUAAAACUGCAGUCUCGGUAAGAGAUGCGGCAGCAAGAACACAGAGCUGGACCACCUAUAAGGGAUUUACCUUAAUGGGGAAGGUAGGCAGCUGUUGCUGGAGUUUAGAUCUGAAGGAUACGCUGGGCAAGAGGGAAGGAAGUGUGUUCCUGGCAGAGGGAGCAGCAUAAACACAGGGGCUGCAGUCAGAGAAGGGGGGAGUGUGCAAGACGACUCCAGAAAAAUGAUCAGGCCAUGCAGGGUUUGGGUCUUCAUCCUAAAUGGGUCUUUAGGCUGUUAAAGCCCCUAUUACUUGACAAUUCCACUCUUAGGCAUUUACCCAAGAGAAAUGAAAACUUAUGUCCCCAAAAGACUUAACACGAAUAUUCAUAGCAGCCUUAAAAUAGCCUAAAACUGGAAAUAAUACAAAUGUCCAUCAACAAGAGAAUGGAUAAAUAAAUUACAGUAUAUUCAUACUCAAUUGAAAGGAAUGAACACACAACAACACAGAAUACUCUCAAAAAGAUUAUGCUGAGUAAAAUAGCCAGACAUAAAAACAUCUAUACUGUAUAUUUGUAUGAAAUCCAAAACCAGGCAAAACUAAUCUAUGGCGAUAAAAAUCAGAAAGUGGCUGGUUCUGGGUGUGGGGGCCAGGCAGGGGGUGACAUGACUGGAAAAGGGGAGCAAGGGAGCUUUCCGAGGUGAUAGCGAUGUUUUGUGUCUUCUUUGGGGGGGUGAUUUCAGAGGCACAUCCAAUUAUCAAAACUCCUCAAACUGGACUAAAGAUCUUGUUUUAGAUUUUUUAUAAUAUAUAUCAAAAAUUUUUUUUAAGUACAAUACACACAUUAAAGUGUUUUAAGCACAGGACUGACAUCAGAUUUGCAUUGUGAAAAGAGCCCCUGGCUGUGGUCUGGAGAAGGAUAAGAAGAGGCCAGAAGGGAAGUGGGUAGACCAGUUCCUCUGCUUUAUGUGAAUUACCUAGAAGCCAGCAUACCCCUGAGCACCAAAGCGUAUCAGCCCGUCACCUGCCUUUAACACAGAAUUCAGACCUCUCCUUGCUGACCUCCUCUAGGAAUUGUGCAAAACAGUUGUCAAUGGACGGCAAAGGGAAUUUAGCUGGGAAACUGGGGCAAGAGACUAAAGAAACCACAGACAAAGGAGAGAAAUUGAACCAAACUUCUAUUACGUAGACUCUUUCAAGGCAGGAAUCUGUUGAAUGCUUUCUUACGUUCUCAUCCCUACAUCUACAGUUUUCUUCUGAAAUAAGAAGUCUAGCAGGCUGGAACUGGUCGAUGCAAUAGGAAGGCAAAAAUUACCUUUUGCCCAUAGUUGGAAUGAACAGAAUUUAAAUGAGAUAACAUAGAACCAGCUUAUGUCUCAAAAAAAAAAACCAAGCGGGCAGUAUUAUGCAAUGAAAGAGGGUGUGAGACAGGAGCACUGGAUUGUGGAAUGAUGUGUAGGAUCGUAAGGAUUUAUCCUAGACCCCAGUACAAAGUCAGAAAGGCACUUGCUGAAUAUUGAAAAGAAACACAGAAUCAAAGCAUUUUAGAGCUGGAAAGGAUUGUUAGAGGGCAUUUCAGCCUACACAUUUCAUAGAUGAAAUGCAGAGGUAAAAGGACCAAAUUACCCAGGAUUUGAUUAGCACUUUACCAAGUACUUCCACAUUUAUUGCCUCAUUAAAUCCUCAUAAAGUGCUGGCAAAUAGCAAUUAUUAAUUCUUCUAUUCAGAAGAAGAAAUUGGGGCUCAGAGAGUAAAGCAGAAAAGCAAAUUCCCUCCAAUGUUUGAGCUUCUCCUCUGCUUCCAGGGCAUGCCACUAGAUCACAGUUCCCAGCUCUCCUGCAUUUGGAGGGGUGGGCCAACAGAGUUCCAGCCAAUGGAAUGUGGCAGAAGCCUGCUCCAGGGCUGGCCACUAAGACCUAGCAUACAAUCCUUUGUUUUCACAGCCUUAAAAUAGCGUAAAACUGGAAACAAUACAAGUGUCCACCAACAAGAGAAUGGAUAAAUAAAUUGCAGUAUAGUCAUACUCAGUACUCCUCUACCUGCCAUCUAGAUGCAUAAGAUCCAGUAGAGCAGUACGAGGCCCCAAGGGAUGGUGAAGCCACCACUUGGCUGGAGCCUGGGUCCCUGAAUGACUCUGUGGAGCAGAGAUGUUUUCUCCCAUUCACUGACCUGAGUUAGACUGUGACGGGAGUGAGAAACAAACCUGUAUUGUGUCCAGGCACUGAGGUCUUGAUGGUGGUUGUACCAGUUAGCUUAACUAACAUAGAAAGGUUAAGGGACUCAGGCAAAAUCCAUAUAUUAAUUUGUUUCACAAAAAUCUAUUGAGCACCUAUUAUAUGUCUCAGAUACUGUGCUUGGCACUGGGUGUACAUCAAUGAAUUAAGACAGCUCUGGGCUGUGCCCUCCUGGGGUUUAUAUCUGGUGAGCUCACACAGUAUGGACAGGGCUAGGAUCCAAAUGAAAAUCUGCUAACUCUAAAUGUCUUCCGUUUUUCUACUUUGCAUACUUCCUCCCAAAUAAUCUGAAUCAAAAUGUAUGACAUUCCUCAAAGAUCACCUUGAAAAAUAGAAGAUUUGUCCUACCAUGUGAGUUACAGGAUGGAGAAAACGAGCUCCAUGUCUUUUGGGUUGGCUCCAUUCUCAGACGGACAAUCCCCUCAUGGUCAUAAGAUGGCUGCAGGAAUGCCAGCCUCACAGCCCCUUAAAUUCAUAUCCUGUGGAGAGGAAAAAUAUAUCUCUAGUGGCAUUCAUAAACUUCUUGAAAUGUCAUCAGAUGGUGCUGGUUUAGGUCAUGUACCCACCUCAGGAAGACAAGUGCAGGUUGUCUUGGGCUUGGGUCAUGGAUCCAUCUUGAGGUAGGAAUCAGAAUGCCAUUGAGACCUCAUAGACUGAGGGUGGGGAAAGGGUAAAUCCCCAGAAGAAAAUUUGAGGCUGAUUCUGUAAAGAGGGGUAGGCAAAGGAAAACUAUCAAAUGCAAUGAUUAACACUGCAUUGAAUGCAUUGAAUGACUCUACUCAUUGAAUCAAACCCAGAUUCUUUUCAAAGAACAAAGCCGUUAACGAGCUUGGAUAGCUGUCCUUGAAAUUAGCAAAUGUCUGGGUAAACACAAGGAUUAUGGUUUCUACCUAGCCUUAAGGACUAGAAAAGCUAAAAGAGUUAAUAGACACAGUAAAACCUGUUAAAAUAACUCUUGGUGAGAGAAAGUAUAAGCUUGAGUAGGCACUUGGAAAGUUGUAAUUAAAGGGAAAAAAUAAGAAAGUAUACAUACUUUCUCUUAAAAAUGAUUUAUUUCCUGUUGCUUUAGAAAAGGAAGUAUUAAUAAAAUGACAAGAUAAUAUACAUUCAGUGCGAUAGUGUGAUGGGGAAGGGGAGGAAUGGAAAUACAAUUUAAACGAAGAUUGUUAAUAAGAAAGAGCUCCUUGGGAGACUGCCUGGAUAGAUAUCCUAAUGUUAGGCAUAAAUAGAAAAAAAAAUUAUUUUGAACAACUGCUGUUUUUAUUAGGAAAAGUGCAACAGCCAUUUAUGGUCACUUUAUUUCUUACUGUUUUGGGUGGGAUGUUUGGGAUGCUUAUCAAAAUGAAGUUAACUUUUGACAACACAAAUGAAGUCAGCUUUUGACGAUGUAAAUUAAAACCAGACUUAUUUGAAGUCAUGGUAUGAGUGAGGUCUCUCUCUUUUGGUGAAAGUGACUUGGUUUGCAACCAAGUCGAACUAGCUUAGGCAAAAAGGGAUCUUUGUUGGUAGGCUCAUAUAGUUCUGAGCUGGCAAGGGCACACCUGGGCCUCACCGACAAGGAAUCAGAGAUUCAAACACCAUCUAGAGUCUUCUCCUUUCGUCUCUUAUUUCUGUUUCUUUUGUGCUGGUUUUCUUCCUAGGGAUUAUGCCACAAACAAAACAAAUGUUUCACCUUUCCAUUUGUCCUAGAGAGGGAGUAAGCCUCUUUGCCCAGCUCAGUUUUUCCAAUCCUGAGGAAGGCCUUUCAUUGGCCUGGCUUAGGUCAUCUGCUCACUCAGGAACAAAACUCUGUAUUUCCAUCAGCCCUACUAGAUGUGGUUACUCAUCUCUAAUCCAGUUAACUCUAGCCAGGAGCUGGGACUCCCUACAAGAUGUUUGUGGUAGGAAAAUGGGCAUUUUCCAGAAGAAAGAAGGUUGGAAUGCUGGGUCAACAAAACCACAGAUGUUCACACCAAACAUCCAAUUCUUUUCUUAAUAAUAAAGAAUAUUAAAGUCAACAAACAUACUUAUUACUUUAAUAAGUAGAGAGUUACAACUGCAACACUAAAGCCCACACGUCAGGGUAAAAUGCUUGGCACAGGUAGAUAACCCAUACAUUUCCCAGGUGGUUUCAGGCUUUGCUUGGUGCCCAGCCUUGGCACACAGCCUCUCUCUCCUGCUCAGACCACCUAAUGCCUAUUGCAAGGCAGAACUCCACCCAGAUUCCCAAAAUGAAUGCUAACCUUAGGGAGACCUUUGGAGUUCUAUGUGCCACUCAGGGACUCAAGGUCAAAUCAUCUUUAUCCUGCUUUUGACCUUAAGCUUCAGGUCUGAUCGCCAGACCUCUGCUUUGCUCAUCUUUAUGUAAGCCAAGUCUCCCCCUCUCUCCAUCCUUCCACUCACCUGUGUGACCCCCACACAGCAAGAGCCCUUCACAGACAAGCUUCUUAAAAGGAGUAAGCAGGACAGCAGAUCUUGGUCUCUAAAUACCAUUUUCCACUCAAAGGAAACAGGAGUCCUUAGAGAAAUGGCUGAUUCCAGGGCUCUAGCAGGGAAGUAUAAGAGGAGCCUGAAACAUCUUAUUGUCCCAGAGUGUAAAGAGGUGCUCAAAAAAUGAUGGGGAGAUGUCACACUGCUUGACGGGCUCCUUAUCUUACUUGAGUUCUUAGCAGCAUAUAAAACUGCUAAUCUCAUCCUCCUUCUUGAAACGCUCUCCUUCUCUAACUUCUGGUCUUUUUCUACUCCUGGUUCUCUUCUUUCCUCAAUGACAGCUCCGUCUAAAAGUCUUUUCUGAGUAUCUCAUUUUCUGCCCACCUCAUAAAUAUAGGUGUUCCUGGGGGUUCUGUCUUCAACCUUUUUCCCUCCUCAUUCUAUUCCCUCUAUGGUGAUUUUAGCUCAUCCCACAGUUUCAAUUACUAUAUAAACAAUGGCUUCAAAAAUAUAUUUUUUAGUAUGUUUAUGUGUGGAUGGAGAUGAGAGAGAGAGAGAUUGAGCAAAGACAUCUCUCUUAAGCUCCAGAACCAUAUAUCCAUCCAAUUACUUCCUGGUUAUCUCUAAUCUCAAAGAUCACCUCUUAGAAAUUAAAGACAUUUCCUCCCUCUCAUCUAGUAUUCUUUAUUUCUAUUACUGCUACUACCAGCACCUGAUCGUCCAAGCAAGAAAUCCUGGGAUUAUUCUUAAUGUCAAUGCCCUUCAGCCAGAGACAACCAGGAACACACCUCUAGUUGAACGAGUUUAUUACUCAUUGCAGUAAAGGCGAACCGUGGGACUCAGGAAGAGAGUGAGAAAGAACCUAUCCAGGAUUUGGGAUUUGGAUGAGUGAUUUGAGAGAGGGUCUAAGGAAGCAGGGCUCUGCUCUACAUUGGAUGCUGUCAGAAAGAAGAGGCAUUUUAUGAUUGGAAUCUCAAUACAUCUUAUCUACAGGAAGAACCAUCCAGAACAAGGAUAAUACCAUAACUGGUAAAGAAGUAGCUGUCACUCAUUUUAGUCAAGAGAGGGGGGGAUUUGGUAUUUUGUGGAUGGCACAGUGACCCUGUUUUCGUCUGUGCUUAGACAAAAUUAUGAAGCAGACUUGUUUUUUUCUCAUGUUAUAUGGUCUCAGAAUAAUCUGUCUGAUGUUGGUAAUCUGUGAGAUUCAUACGCCCAACAGGAAAUAACACGGCCCAGCUCUGAAUACCAGGUCAGCUUCUGAUGUCAAGAGCUCUUUUUUCCCCCCUCUCUCAUUCAUUACUCUGUCAUUCCCAUAUAAAUUAGUUACCAAAUCCUAUUAAUUUUACUUCCUACCUUUCGGUGGAAUCUGUCUCCUUCUCCCCAUCUUCUUUUCUGCGUCUCAAAUCCAGGCCAUUAUUAUUUGUCAUCUGAAUUACUACAUCAGUCAUUUAACAGUUCACCCAACAUUUCAGCUUGCGCCUGUUCCAGUCCAUCCUCUGCCCUCCACCCUUUAGCCAGAAUGAAGUUUCUAAAUAUAUCAUCCCUGCUUAAAAUCUUCUUCGGCUACAUAACCAGCCAUGUUGCUAACAUUUAAGUGAUAAAAUUAAAAAUCAGUGAGGUUAACAAUGAAAAUAAACUUUUUAUUUUCUCCCUAAAAGGAAUCAAGAAGGGUGGAAGAGUGUAUUUACAUAAGGAAGAGCUGACUUUGGAGACUGUUUUGAUAUUCUGAUUCCCUCUUAAGAAAUUAUGACUCAAUAUGAAUCAAGAGAGUGACACAACUGCUAACAAACUUAAUGCGUUAUUGGCACCAUUAGCAGAAGUAUAUUGUCCAGAACAAGAAAAUUAUAUUCAGUUCAGUUCUGGGUAAUAUAUUUUAAGAAAGAAAUUAUUGAAAGUAUAUGUGCAGAAGAAGGCAACCAGGACAGGGAAGUUCUGGAAAUCAAGUCAUCUGGAUAAUCAAAAAGGUAGAGUUUAAAGAAAAAUAAGAAGGGAUAUGACAAAUGCUUUCAAAUAUCUGAAGAGCUGUCAUAUAUAAGAGGGAGUAACUUUAUUUUAUACAGUUCCAGGGGCAGGACCAAAUCUGAGAAUUACAAAUCCUAGGAAGAUUGAUUUCUGCUCAAUGUAAGGAAACACUUGCUAACAAUCAGAGCUGUAAAAUAAUGGAGCUGGCUUCCUGGAAGGGCAAUGAGCUCCUAGUGACUAGAAGGUUUCAAGCUAAAGCUGAAUAAUUGUCUGGAAAGUAUAUGAACUGUAAAAUAGGAGUGUCAAACCAUCUGUGAUGAUAGGACCGUUGUUUGAGCCAUUGUGGUCCAACACCUUCAUAAAUUACAAUAAAACUAAAUUAGUACAAAUGAAAAGAGAAAAAAAACAUAAAAAGUACAAGCUCAAAUUUUUCAUGAUCUGAUUCAAUAAACAUAAAAUUAAAUUUCAAUAAAUAGAAUUAGAACAAACGUAAAAGGGAAAGAGAAAAGAAUGAUUUAAAAAACUGUUGAAAAUGUGCAUUUAAGAUUAAUAUACAAAAUUUCUAUAACCCUUAACAUUUUAUUGUUCUUCACUUGUCACUGAAGAAAAUUGAGUGACUUAGUAAUUCUCUUGAUUAAACCAUUAUAGACAUACUUUGAAUAAACACCAUGCAUCUUAAUAUUUUAAAGUUUUAAUGUGACAAAUGAGUUUGUUUCUUGUUAAAACAUCCAAUGCAGGUCAGAUUGACGACAAUGCCACUUUCAGGGAAUGGUGUAUAUCUAAACUGCUUCUGUGUGUUGUUUUAAUACCAUUCAUAAGAAAACCACGUUUACAAAGGGAUUUAAAAUACUUUCAGUAUGCCCAGGAUAUUCAUCUUAAUUUUUGUCCAAAAUGAAGCAAAUAAUGCUGUAUUUUCAAAAUUUGUUUUUAACUUCUCAUUAGUUGCCAGUUAGAACAAUGUAUCCUGUAAUUAAAUUUAACUCAUCUUUUGUUGAAAUAAAUGGAUUCCAG